AACGACUCUCGGCAACGGAUAUCUCGGCUCUCGCAUCGAUGAAGAACGUAGCGAAAUGCGAUACUUGGUGUGAAUUGCAGAAUCCCGUGAACCAUCGAGUCUUUGAACGCAAGUUGCGCCCGAAGCCACUUGGUUGAGGGCACGUCUGCCUGGGCGUCACGCAUCGCGU
This 169-nucleotide ribosomal RNA is filed under the name Bartsia alpina. Its description in RNAcentral is "5.8S ribosomal RNA". It matches the Rfam family "5.8S ribosomal RNA". From Rfam's summary of the family: 5.8S ribosomal RNA (5.8S rRNA) is a component of the large subunit of the eukaryotic ribosome. It is transcribed by RNA polymerase I as part of the 45S precursor that also contains 18S and 28S rRNA. Lineage: Eukaryota; Viridiplantae; Streptophyta; Magnoliopsida; Lamiales; Orobanchaceae. The record is from RNAcentral.